AUCAGUGGCGAACGGGUGAGUAACACGUGAGUAACCUGCCCCAGACUCUGGGAUAACUCCGAGAAAUCGGUGCUAAUACCGGAUACGAGACGAACAGGCAUCUGUAGCGUCUGGAAAGAAUUUUGGUCUGGGAUGGACUCGCGGCCUAUCAGUUAGUUGGUGAGGUAACGGCUCACCAAGACGACGACGGGUAGCCGGCCUGAGAGGGCGACCGGCCACACUGGGACUGAGACACGGCCCAGACUCCUACGGGAGGCAGCAGUGGGGAAUAUUGCACAAUGGGCGAAAGCCUGAUGCAGCGACGCCGCGUGGGGGAUGAAGGCCUUCGGGUUGUAAACCCCUUUCAGCAGGGAAGAAGCGAAAGUGACGGUACCUGCAGAAGAAGCGCCGGCUAACUACGUGCCAGCAGCCGCGGUAAUACGUAGGGCGCAAGCGUUGUCCGGAAUUAUUGGGCGUAAAGAGCUCGUAGGCGGUUUGUCGCGUCUGCUGUGAAAGCCCGAGGCUCAACCUCGGGUCUGCAGUGGGUACGGGCAGACUAGAGUGCGGUAGGGGAGACUGGAAUUCCUGGUGUAGCGGUGGAAUGCGCAGAUAUCAGGAGGAACACCGAUGGCGAAGGCAGGUCUCUGGGCCGCAACUGACGCUGAGGAGCGAAAGCAUGGGGAGCGAACAGGAUUAGAUACCCUGGUAGUCCAUGCCGUAAACGUUGGGCACUAGGUGUGGGGCUCAUUCCACGAGUUCCGUGCCGCAGCU
This 750-nucleotide ribosomal RNA is filed under the name Actinotalea ferrariae. RNAcentral's name for it is "bacterial SSU rRNA". It matches the Rfam family "Bacterial small subunit ribosomal RNA", at positions 91 to 853 of the family's 1533-position model. Lineage: Bacteria; Bacillati; Actinomycetota; Actinomycetes; Micrococcales; Cellulomonadaceae. The record is from RNAcentral.